UUUCGCAAUGCCCGAAAGGGUGACGAAGCGACGCCGCGUGAGUGAGGAAGGCCUUCGGGUUGUAAAGCUCUGUCAGGAGUUAAGAAAUAUAAGUGUGUUAAUACCACAUUUAUUUGACGAAGGCUCCAAAGGAAGCCACGGCUAACUCUGUGCCAGCAGCCGCGGUAAUACAGAGGUGGCAAGCGUUGUUCGGAAUUAUUGGGCGUAAAGAGCACGUAGGUGGGUUUGUAAGUCAGAUGUGAAAGCCUUCUGUUCGACGGAAGAAUUGCAUCUGAGACUGCGAGUCUUGAGUGUAGGAGGGGAGAAUGGAACCUCUGGUGGAGCGGUGAAAUGCGUAGAUAUCAGAAGGAACGCCGGCGGCGAAAGCGAUUCUCUGGCCUAUUACUGACACUCAGUGUGCGAAAGCUAGGGGAGCAAACGGGAUUAGAUACCCCGGUAGUCCUAGCUGUAAACGCUGGGCACUAAGUAGAGGGGUUUU
RNAcentral lists this ribosomal RNA (478 nucleotides) under uncultured anaerobic ammonium-oxidizing bacterium. Its description in RNAcentral is "bacterial SSU rRNA". It matches the Rfam family "Bacterial small subunit ribosomal RNA", at positions 364 to 832 of the family's 1533-position model. The record is from RNAcentral.